This 975-nucleotide long non-coding RNA is filed under the name Homo sapiens (human). Its description in RNAcentral is "non-protein coding lnc-RAB23-53:25". The record is from RNAcentral. Lineage: Eukaryota; Metazoa; Chordata; Mammalia; Primates; Hominidae.
GGUGUGCGGCCAGCCAUGGAGCGCUCUGGGCCCAGCGAAGUGACAGGCUCAGACGCAUCGGGACCGGACCCGCAGCUUGUGGUCACCAUGGGCUUCACGGGGUUCGGGGUUCGGUAAAAAAGCUCACACAUUUGACUUGGAAGCAAUGUUUGAACAAACUCAAAGAACAGCUGUGGAAAGAAGUCACAAAACACUGGGGCUGGUGAAUUACCAGAUCUCCAUCAAGUGCAGUAACCAGUUCAAGUUGGAAGUGUGUCUUUUGAAUGCAGAAAACAAAGUCGUGGACAACCAGGCUGGGACCCAGGGCCAGCUGAAGGUGCUGGGUGCCAACCUCUGGUGGCCGUACCUGAUGCACGAACACCCCGCCUACCUGUACUCGUGGGAGGAUGGUGAUUGCUCACACCAAAGCCUUGGACCCCUCCCAGCCUGUGACCUUUGUGACCAACGUCACCUAUGCAGCAGACAAGGGGGCUCUGUAUGUGGAUGUGAUCCGUGUGAACAGCUACUACUCUUGGUAUCGCAACUACGGGCACCUGGAGUUGAUUCAGCUGCAGCUGGCCACCCAGUUUGAGAAUUGGUGUAAGACAUCACAAUCCCAUUAUUCAGAGCGCGUAUGGAGUGGAAACGCUUGUAGGGUUUCACCAGUUCUGCAGGCUGGAAAUCCAAGAUGAAGUCACCUGUAGUUCAGUGUCUGCGUCUAAGAGAGCACUUUGUUGCUGCACCCGCCAGAGGGAAGAAAUACUGUAUCUUCUCAUGAAGGAAGGAACCGAAGGUGGGAAUAGGGACCAACCUCCCUCUUUCAAGCCUUUUUGUAGUGACAUUAAUUCAUUUAUGAGGAUUCCACCAUCAUGACAUAAUCAUUUCCCAAAGGAUUUCACCUCCUCCCACUGUUGCAUUGGGGAUUAAUUUUCCAACACAUGAAUUUUGAGGGACACAUUCAAACCAUAGCAACUGGUAUAUAGUAACUAGGUGGCC